This 419-nucleotide ribosomal RNA is filed under the name bacterium. RNAcentral describes it as "partial 16S ribosomal RNA". It matches the Rfam family "Bacterial small subunit ribosomal RNA", at positions 355 to 776 of the family's 1533-position model. The record is from RNAcentral.
UGGGGGAUAUUGCACAAUGGGCGAAAGCCUGAUGCAGCGACGCCGCGUGGGGGAUGAAGGCCUUCGGGUUGUAAACUUCUUUUGCUCUGAACAAGGCGCACCAUGGGGUGUGUUGAGUGUAGGGGUUGAUUAGCGCCGGCUAACUACGUGCCAGCAGCCGCGGUAAUACGUAGGGCGCGAGCGUUGUCCGGAAUUAUUGGGCGUAAAGGGCUUGUAGGUGGCUGGUUGCGUCUGUCGUGAAAGCUACUGGCUUAACUGUGGGUUUGCGGUGGGUAAGAGCUAUCUUGAGUGCAGUAGGGGAGGCUGGAAUUCCUGGUGUAGCGGUGGAAUGCGCAGAUAUCAGGAGGAAUACCGGUGGCGAAGGCGGGUCUCUGGGCUGUUACUGACACUGAGGAGCGAAAGCAUGGGGAGCGAACAGG